Non-coding RNA from Alosa alosa (allis shad), 77 nucleotides. The record is from the annotation of a RefSeq genome assembly. NCBI's taxonomy places the organism in Eukaryota, Metazoa, Chordata, Actinopteri, Clupeiformes, Clupeidae.
GGCUCCAUAGCUCAGUGGUUAGAGCACUGGUCUUGUAAACCAGUGCUCUAACCAGAGUUCGAUCCUCGCUGGGGCCU